Molecule: ribosomal RNA, 377 nt
Filed under: uncultured myxomycete
Lineage: Eukaryota; Evosea; Eumycetozoa
Description: SSU rRNA
Rfam family: Eukaryotic small subunit ribosomal RNA
Source: RNAcentral
UCUCUCUGAAUCUGCGAACGGCUCCGCAAACCAGUUGUAAACUAUAGCAAGCCGGCCUUGUGCCUGCCUUCACGGGUGGGUGCUUGGCGAUAUGGAUAACCCUGGUAAUUCUGAGGCUAAUACAAGAACGUAAAACCUGGCUGACCGGGCAACUGGGAGGCUGGGGGACGUGCGAGUUGUGUCGCGAGAAUCUCUGGGGGUGGACGCACGUUCAGACCGCGCUAAAAAGGAAAGGUCCCCUUCACGGGGGGCCCGCCCCAGCGGCUCUUGCUUUGUGCUUCUGACCUAUCAACUAGAUGGCAGCGUAACGGACAUGCUAUGGUGACAACGGGUACAGAGGAUUAGGGUUUGAUCCUGGAGAGUGGGCCUGAGAGAUU